This 87-nucleotide microRNA precursor is filed under the name Eptesicus fuscus (big brown bat). Its description in RNAcentral is "microRNA efu-mir-9329 precursor". The record is from miRBase by way of RNAcentral. Lineage: Eukaryota; Metazoa; Chordata; Mammalia; Chiroptera; Vespertilionidae.
GACAUGGUUGGCUGCCUCUGGACUGUGAGGCCCGCAGUUCAACAUGCCCCGCCCACUGUUCAGGGAACUUGUGUUCAGCAUGUUGGU